Molecule: ribosomal RNA, 493 nt
Filed under: Pseudomonas sp. CL1.10
Lineage: Bacteria; Pseudomonadati; Pseudomonadota; Gammaproteobacteria; Pseudomonadales; Pseudomonadaceae
Description: bacterial SSU rRNA
Rfam family: Bacterial small subunit ribosomal RNA
Source: RNAcentral
UUGAUCCCUGGCUCAGAUUGAACGCUGGCGGCAGGCCUAACACAUGCAAGUCGAGCGGAUGACAGGAGCUUGCUCCUGAAUUCAGCGGCGGACGGGUGAGUAAUGCCUAGGAAUCUGCCUGGUAGUGGGGGACAACGUUUCGAAAGGAACGCUAAUACCGCAUACGUCCUACGGGAGAAAGCAGGGGACCUUCGGGCCUUGCGCUAUCAGAUGAGCCUAGGUCGGAUUAGCUAGUUGGUGAGGUAAUGGCUCACCAAGGCGACGAUCCGUAACUGGUCUGAGAGGAUGAUCAGUCACACUGGAACUGAGACACGGUCCAGACUCCUACGGGAGGCAGCAGUGGGGAAUAUUGGACAAUGGGCGAAAGCCUGAUCCAGCCAUGCCGCGUGUGUGAAGAAGGUCUUCGGAUUGUAAAGCACUUUAAGUUGGGAGGAAGGGCAGUAACUUAAUACGUUGCUGUCUUGACGUUACCGACAGAAUAAGCACCGGCUAA